UUUAAUGGAGAGUUUGAUCCUGGCUCAGGACGAACGCUGGCGGCGUGCCUAAUACAUGCAAGUCGAGCGGAGCUGAUGAGGUGCUUGCACCUCUGAUGCUUAGCGGCGGACGGGUGAGUAACACGUAGGUAACCUGCCCAUAAGACUGGGAUAACCCACGGAAACGUGAGCUAAUACCAGAUAGGCAUCUUCUUCGCAUGAAGGAGAUGAGAAAGACGGUUUCGGCUGUCACUUAUGGAUGGACCUGCGGCGCAUUAGCUAGUUGGUGAGGUAACGGCUCACCAAGGCGACGAUGCGUAGCCGACCUGAGAGGGUGAUCGGCCACACUGGGACUGAGACACGGCCCAGACUCCUACGG
RNAcentral lists this ribosomal RNA (358 nucleotides) under Paenibacillus aquistagni. Its description in RNAcentral is "bacterial SSU rRNA". It matches the Rfam family "Bacterial small subunit ribosomal RNA", at positions 1 to 344 of the family's 1533-position model. The record is from RNAcentral. Lineage: Bacteria; Bacillati; Bacillota; Bacilli; Caryophanales; Paenibacillaceae.